UCAGAACGAACGCUGGCGGCAGGCCUAACACAUGCAAGUCGAGCGCUCACUUCGGUGGGAGCGGCGGACGGGUUAGUAACGCAUGGGAACGUACCCUUUUCUACGGAAUAGCCAUUGGAAACGAUGAGUAAUACCGUAUACGCCCUUUGGGGGAAAGAUUUAUCGGAGAAGGAUCGGCCCGCGUUAGAUUAGAUAGUUGGUGGGGUAACGGCCUACCAAGUCUACGAUCUAUAGCUGGUUUGAGAGGAUGAUCAGCAACACUGGGACUGAGACACGGCCCAGACUCCUACGGGAGGCAGCAGUGGGGAAUCUUAGACAAUGGGCGCAAGCCUGAUCUAGCCAUGCCGCGUGAGUGAAGAAGGCCCUAGGGUCGUAAAGCUCUUUCGCCAGGGAUGAUAAUGACAGUACCUGGUAAAGAAACCCCGGCUAACU
RNAcentral lists this ribosomal RNA (432 nucleotides) under alpha proteobacterium 'Egg clone D44'. Its description in RNAcentral is "bacterial SSU rRNA". It matches the Rfam family "Bacterial small subunit ribosomal RNA", at positions 24 to 502 of the family's 1533-position model. Lineage: Bacteria; Pseudomonadati; Pseudomonadota; Alphaproteobacteria. The record is from RNAcentral.